This 570-nucleotide ribosomal RNA is filed under the name uncultured Pachylepyrium. RNAcentral's name for it is "SSU rRNA". It matches the Rfam family "Eukaryotic small subunit ribosomal RNA", at positions 186 to 760 of the family's 1831-position model. Lineage: Eukaryota; Fungi; Basidiomycota; Agaricomycetes; Agaricales; Strophariaceae. The record is from RNAcentral.
ACUUCCGGAAGGGGUGUAUUUAUUAGAUAAAAAACCAACGCGGCUCGCCGCUCCCUUGGUGAUUCAUAAUAACUUCUCGAUUCGCAUGGCCUUGUGCCGGCGAUGCUUCAUUCAAAUAUCUGCCCUAUCAACUUUCGAUGGUAGGAUAGCGGCCUACCAUGGUUUCAACGGGUAACGGGGAAUAAGGGUUCGAUUCCGGAGAGGGCGCCUGAGAAACGGCUACCACAUCCAAGGAAGGCAGCAGGCGCGCAAAUUACCCAAUCCCGACACGGGGAGGUAGUGACAAUAAAUAACAAUAUAGGGCUCUUUCGGGUCUUAUAAUUGGAAUGAGUACAAUUUUAAUCCCUUAACGAGGAACAAUUGGAGGGCAAGUCUGGUGCCAGCAGCCGCGGUAAUUCCAGCUCCAAUAGCGUAUAUUAAAGUUGUUGCAGUUUAAAAGCUCGUAGUUGAACUUCAGACCUGGCCGGGCGGUCCGCUUAACGGCGUGUACUGUCUGACUGGGCCUUACCUCUUGGUGAGCCGGCGUGCCCUUUAUUGGUGUGCGUCGGGGAACCAGGACUUUUACCUUGA